Molecule: long non-coding RNA, 1124 nt
Filed under: Mytilus galloprovincialis (Mediterranean mussel)
Lineage: Eukaryota; Metazoa; Mollusca; Bivalvia; Mytilida; Mytilidae
Source: RNAcentral
CGAGUUCAUAUUCUUUUUUUUACUGUAUACAUGGUAUAUGUUGUCAAUAAAGAUGCAUAAGGUCCGAGACCGCAAUUGUCGUCCCUUGAUUUUCGUUAUUCACGAAUAUAGUCCCUAGUGUUGACAGUGGGUUACUUGCCAUUAAUUUUUAUACCCCUUCCAAAUUUAUUUCUCCAUGUUUAAUGCCUCAAAUUGCAAGAAAGGGGGUGAAAUUACAGUGUAAAAAAAUUUGGGUCCCUAAUUUUUUUUAGGAAAGUAGAGUUUGGUCCAGCUGAAAAAGGUUAAAAAUUAGCACCUCGGAAGCUGUCAAAAGAUUUCAAGACGCCCUAUAUAUAAAAUUGUCCAUAUUUUGAGUUAGAGCUGAUGAAGUUUUCUAUAAUUUUGAUAUAAUUUGUCCCAAAAGUAGUACAGCACACUGUAAAAAUUUCAUUGAGAAAGCGCAGGUGGGAUUUUAAAAAAUUUAUAAAGGUCUGCCAACUUGCCCUACUUUAAAAAAUGAAAACUUAUCUACUCAGAUUUAAAAAAAAAUGUGACUGUCACCAGUAAAACUGCAUUUGCAACCGUCAAAUCCACAAUUGACGGUGACAACUCUUCAACUACAGUACUGGUAUUCCGAUUCUAAUUCAUAACAAAAAGAUAUAAUACGAUGGAGUUUGAAAAAAUGUAUAAAUUUGACAUACAAAAAAAAUCUGUGAAACUUCAUGAAUGAUUUUCGCGCAAAGACGUCAUGGCUAAAUAUGACUUCAUACAAAUGAAAACUUACAAAUUGGAGGUUAAUAAGUUGCAUCUUCGAUUCAAAUUUGGAUAAAAUCACUGUUAAACAGUGAAUUGGAGAUGGUGUUGUUCUAUUAAUGACAACAUUGUAGUAAAUCGAACCUUUGUUGAUCCAAUCAAUUCAAUAUUGCGGCUCCCUCCUUAGUUUUGCCUUGUCAACUGGGGAAAUGUAUGUAUUUAUUGGAGAAUACAUUUAUUUAACUACUCUUAUAUGCUUAAUUUUUUUAGUGAUUUGCCAGAUAAUUGCAAAGAAACCUGUUAAUUGUAUCAUAAAUAUAUCUUAUAGGUUUUUUAGCCAACUCAAAAUCAUGCUUUUAGGACCCCCUUGUUGUACUGAGGAAGUGGACCGC